Molecule: transfer RNA, 82 nt
Filed under: Candidatus Omnitrophota bacterium
Lineage: Bacteria; Pseudomonadati; Candidatus Omnitrophota
Description: Candidatus Omnitrophica bacterium tRNA-Leu
Rfam family: tRNA
About the family: Transfer RNA (tRNA) molecules are approximately 80 nucleotides in length. Their secondary structure includes four short double-helical elements and three loops (D, anti-codon, and T loops).
Source: RNAcentral
GCGGACGUGGCGGAAUUGGCAGACGCGUUAGCCUUAGGAGCUAAUGGAGAAAUCCGUGGGGGUUCAACUCCCUCCGUCCGCA